UACGAAGGGGGCUAACGUUGUUCGGAAUUACUGGGCGUAAAGCGCACGUAGGCGGAUUGUUAAGUUAGGGGUGAAAUCCCAGGGCUCAACCCUGGAACUGCCUUUAAUACUGGCAAUCUCGAGUCCGAGAGAGGUGAGUGGAAUUCCGAGUGUAGAGGUGAAAUUCGUAGAUAUUCGGAGGAACACCAGUGGCGAAGGCGGCUCACUGGCUCGGUACUGACGCUGAGGUGCGAAAGCGUGGGGAGCAAACAGG
This 253-nucleotide ribosomal RNA is filed under the name uncultured bacterium. Its description in RNAcentral is "partial 16S ribosomal RNA". It matches the Rfam family "Bacterial small subunit ribosomal RNA", at positions 524 to 776 of the family's 1533-position model. The record is from RNAcentral.